GACGAACGCUGGCGGCGUGCUUAACACAUGCAAGUCGAACGGAAAGGCCCUGCUUUUGUGGGGUGCUCGAGUGGCGAACGGGUGAGUAACACGUGAGUAACCUGCCCUUGACUUUGGGAUAACUUCAGGAAACUGGGGCUAAUACCGGAUAGGAGCUCCUGCUGCAUGGUGGGGGUUGGAAAGUUUCGGCGGCUGGGGAUGGACUCGCGGCUUAUCAGCUUGUUGGUGGGGUAGUGGCUUACCAAGGCUUUGACGGGUAGCCGGCCUGAGAGGGUGACCGGCCACAUUGGGACUGAGAUACGGCCCAGACUCCUCCGGGAGGCAGCAGUGGGGAAUAUUGCACAAUGGGCGGAAGCCUGAUGCAGCAACGCCGCGUGCGGGAUGACGGCCUUCGGGUUGUAAACCGCUUUCGCCUGUGACGAAGCGUGAGUGACGGUAAUGGGUAAAGAAGCACCGGCUAACUACGUG
RNAcentral lists this ribosomal RNA (468 nucleotides) under uncultured bacterium. Its description in RNAcentral is "partial 16S ribosomal RNA". It matches the Rfam family "Bacterial small subunit ribosomal RNA", at positions 28 to 507 of the family's 1533-position model. The record is from RNAcentral.